UGAGUAACACGUAUCCAACCUGCCGUCUACUCUUGGACAGCCUUCUGAAAGGAAGAUUAAUACAAGAUGGCAUCAUGAGUUCACAUGUUCACAUGAUUAAAGGUAUUCCGGCAGACGAUGGGGAUGCGUUCCAUUAGAUAGUAGGCGGGGUAACGGCCCACCUAGUCUUCGAUGGAUGGGGGUUCUGAGAGGAAGGUCCCCCACAUUGGAACUGAGACACGGUCCAA
This 227-nucleotide ribosomal RNA is filed under the name uncultured bacterium. RNAcentral's name for it is "partial 16S ribosomal RNA". It matches the Rfam family "Bacterial small subunit ribosomal RNA", at positions 107 to 334 of the family's 1533-position model. The record is from RNAcentral.